UCCCCGUUUCACAGGGCAGUCCCUCUAGAGUGCUCGGCAUGACCCGGGGGCAACUAACAACAGGGGUUGCGCUCGUUAUAGGACUUAACCUGACACCUCACGGCACGAGCUGACGACAACCAUGCAGCACCUUGUAAUCUGCCCGAAGGAGGACCUGUUUCCAAGCCUGUCAGACUACAUUUAAGCCCUGGUAAGGUUCCUCGCGUAUCAUCGAAUUAAACCACAUGCUCCACCGCUUGUGCGGGCCCCCGUCAAUUCCUUUGAGUUUCAAACUUGCGUUCGUACUCCCCAGGUGGGAUACUUAUCACUUUCGCUUAGCCACUCAAGAUUGCUCUCGAACAGCUAGUAUCCAUCGUUUACGGCGUGGACUAC
RNAcentral lists this unclassified non-coding RNA (372 nucleotides) under uncultured Flavobacteriaceae bacterium. Its description in RNAcentral is "contains 16S-23S intergenic spacer region". Lineage: Bacteria; Pseudomonadati; Bacteroidota; Flavobacteriia; Flavobacteriales; Flavobacteriaceae. The record is from RNAcentral.